This 431-nucleotide ribosomal RNA is filed under the name uncultured bacterium. RNAcentral describes it as "partial 16S ribosomal RNA". It matches the Rfam family "Bacterial small subunit ribosomal RNA", at positions 338 to 795 of the family's 1533-position model. The record is from RNAcentral.
CCUACGGGGGGCAGCAGUGGGGAAUAUUGCACAAUGGGCGCAAGCCUGAUGCAGCAACGCCGCGUGCGGGAUGACGGCCUUCGGGUUGUAAACCGCUUUCAGCUUCGACGCGGUAGAAGCAGAAGAAGGACCGGCCAACUACGUGCCAGCAGCCGCGGUGAUACGUAGGGUCCGAGCGUUGUCCGGAAUUAUUGGGCGUAAAGGGCUUGUAGGCGGUUUGUCGCGUCGGAAGUGAAAACUCAGGGCUUAACCCUGAGCCUGCUUCCGAUACGGGCAAACUAGAGGGAUGCAGGGGAGAACGGAAUUCCUGGUGGAGCGGUGGAAUGCGCAGAUAUCAGGAGGAACACCGGUGGCGAAGGCGGUUCUCUGGCAUUCCUGACGCUGAGAAGCGAAAGCGUGGGGAGCAAACAGGCUUAGAUACCCUUGUAGUC